This 538-nucleotide unclassified non-coding RNA is filed under the name uncultured Pelagibacterales bacterium. RNAcentral's name for it is "partial 16S-23S ribosomal RNA intergenic spacer". The stretch from base 420 to 538 matches the Rfam family "Bacterial large subunit ribosomal RNA", at positions 1 to 120 of the family's 2925-position model. Lineage: Bacteria; Pseudomonadati; Pseudomonadota; Alphaproteobacteria; Candidatus Pelagibacterales. The record is from RNAcentral.
CCUCCUUUCUAAGGAUGAGUGAAAGUAAAAUUUCAUUCUAAAUAAUAUACAUCGGUAAUGUUGACCGUCCUCAUUUCUCUUCUUAAAGUAAUGUUUCCUUCUUGUAGGGCCGGUAGCUCAGUUGGUUAGAGCACACCCUUGAUAAGGGUGGGGUCGAAAGUUCGAGUCUUUCUCGGCCCACCAAUAACCUAAAUGGGGGGUUAGCUCAUCUGGGAGAGCGCCUGAUUUGCAUUCAGGAGGUAGCAGGUUCGAUCCCUGUAUCCUCCACCAGGAAACAUUUAGUUAUUAAAAUUGUAAAUAAAAAUAAUUUAUAUCAAUAUCUAUAUCCGAACAUUAAAAGUUAUUAUUUAAUGUUCAAAAUAAAAAUUUGAUCACAACAUAGAUUAAUUUUCUUUAAAAAGAAUUUUUUUCUGUGCAUAAAUCAAGCGUUUAAGGGCGUGUAGUGGAUGCCUGGGCACUGAAAGCCGAUGAAGGACGUGAUAUACUGCGAUAAGUUUCGGGGAGCUGUAUGUAAGUUUUGAUCCGAAAAUUCCGAAUG